CGUUUGUGGUGAAAUUGGUAAACACAGGAGACUUAAAAUCUCCCGCCUUUAGGUUUGUCGGUUCGAGUCCGACCAGACGCAC
Molecule: transfer RNA, 82 nt
Filed under: Pectobacterium phage vB_PcaM_CBB
Lineage: Duplodnaviria; Heunggongvirae; Uroviricota; Caudoviricetes
Description: Pectinobacterium phage vB_PcaM_CBB tRNA-Leu
Rfam family: tRNA
About the family: Transfer RNA (tRNA) molecules are approximately 80 nucleotides in length. Their secondary structure includes four short double-helical elements and three loops (D, anti-codon, and T loops). Further hydrogen bonds mediate the characteristic L-shaped molecular structure. tRNAs have two regions of fundamental functional importance: the anti-codon, which is responsible for specific mRNA codon recognition, and the 3' end, to which the tRNAs corresponding amino acid is attached (by aminoacyl-tRNA synthetases). tRNAs cope with the degeneracy of the genetic code in two manners: having more than one tRNA (with a specific anti-codon) for a particular amino acid; and 'wobble' base-pairing, i.e. permitting non-standard base-pairing at the 3rd anti-codon position.
Source: RNAcentral